UGCAAAAAACAAAAAUGGCCUAUGGUACCACGAGGCUACAAGUAUGUGGUUUGGUGCCCUAACUGUACAUUGAAAUUGCAGAUCCCUAAGAAGAGAGCGAGCGAGCGAGAGAAUCAGAGUAGAUUAUAGGGCAGGGUUUGGAUUUGGGACAACGACGAAGACUAUGGAUUACCUGAAGAAGAAGCUCCUGCAUGAUUUGCCUAACUUUAUCAUCCGUAGACCUGUUCUUGCUGGUAUUGCGAUGGCAGUUGGAUGGAUGUUACCCGGUAUCAUUGACAAGCACAUUUCCCGCAGGGAGAAAAACAAGAGGCUCAAAGAGAGACAAAUUGAGAAGGACAGUUAGAAACUUCAUUUUAGAAUCAUUGCCAGUUGAAUGUUUUGUGCUUUUCCGUCUUAGUUAUUGGAAGAGAAUUGCCAGUCCCCUUGGCCCUUCUCAGUCUCCUGAGGUUUGAAUCAGUAUGGAAAAGUUGACACUUUUUAUAGGGUUUAAAAAUAAAGGAUGAUCUCUCUCUCUCUGUC
Molecule: long non-coding RNA, 519 nt
Organism: Coffea eugenioides
Lineage: Eukaryota; Viridiplantae; Streptophyta; Magnoliopsida; Gentianales; Rubiaceae
Exons: 4
Source: RefSeq, a predicted model, not a curated record